AGCUUGCAUGAGCCUGAAGCUCUGAUGGUAUACAUUUCUAUAUUGGAGCAACAAGCAAAGUAUGUGGAUGCUUUGGAAAUUCUCACUGGGAAUUUAGGAUCUCUGUUAAUGAUUGAAGUUGAUAAACUACGUAUACAGGGAAGGCUACUUGCUAGGGCGGGUGAUUACAGUGCUGCUGCUGAUAUUUUUCAGAAAAUCUUAGAGCUAAG
Molecule: long non-coding RNA, 209 nt
Organism: Humulus lupulus (European hop)
Lineage: Eukaryota; Viridiplantae; Streptophyta; Magnoliopsida; Rosales; Cannabaceae
Exons: 3
Source: RefSeq, a predicted model, not a curated record